This is a small nuclear RNA of Mirounga angustirostris (Northern elephant seal), 142 nucleotides long. RefSeq annotates it as U4 spliceosomal RNA. The record is from RefSeq and is a predicted model, not a curated record. Lineage: Eukaryota; Metazoa; Chordata; Mammalia; Carnivora; Phocidae. The transcript has a single exon.
AGCUUUGUGCAGUGGCAGUACUGUAGCCAAUGAGGUUUAUCCGAGGCACGAUUAUUGCUAAUUGAAAACUUUUCCCUAUAAUGAUUAGUACUAACAUGUUUUAAAGGAAAUACAUCCAAGGAUUUCUGUAGAAAGGUGUUCC